ACAUUUAGAGAUCAGCAGGUGGCGGUAUUGUACCUGUAGUUGGUCUGCCAGCAUUACCUGAAAAGAAGUAGGUGAAGAAGAAAAACAAAGAUGGAGCGCGAGGCAGGAGGAGGACAGAUUGUUUCCUGGACUCUUUAAAAAGAACAGUUCAAUACCUGGAAAAAGGCAGUAAAGAUAUUUACUUUCUCUGUUGGACAAAGUGACUGACCGACCGUAUCCCCAAGACAGGAGAAGAGAUGGUACCUCUCCAAGCUGCGCUGCGCUGACCACUACGGUGGUCACUGAACUUCCUCUGACACUUUAAAGACGCUUAUGAAUUUCCACCUCAACGCCAUCCAGGGGACCCACACACCUUCCAUCUGCAGCAACAUGUUC
Long non-coding RNA from Astyanax mexicanus (Mexican tetra), 375 nucleotides. RefSeq lists it as uncharacterized. The record is from RefSeq and is a predicted model, not a curated record. NCBI's taxonomy places the organism in Eukaryota, Metazoa, Chordata, Actinopteri, Characiformes, Acestrorhamphidae. The transcript has 3 exons.